CCUACGGGAGGCAGCAGUAGGGAAUUUUGCGCAAUGGGCGAAAGCCUGACGCAGCAACGCCGCGUGAUCGAGACGCCCUUCGGGGUGUUAAGGUCUGUCAGUGGGGACGAAACUUGAGGGUAAGCACAUAGGAAUCACCUGCUAACUCCGUGCCAGCAGCCGCCGUAAAACGGGGGGUGCGAGCGUUGGGCGGUAUCUUUGGGCGUAACGGGGUCAGGGGCGGCACGUAAAGUCUGGUGUUAAAGGCAAAGGCUCAACUUCAGGACGGCACGGGAUACUUGCGAGCUAGAGUGCAGUAGAGGAUAAGGGAAUUCCUGGGGUAGCGGUGAAAUGCGUAGAUAUAAGGAGGAACAUCAGUGGCGAAAGCGCUUUACUGGGCCGUAAUUGACGCUGAGGAACGAAAGCGAGGGUAGCAAAUAGGAUUAGAUACCCCUGUAGUC
Molecule: ribosomal RNA, 440 nt
Filed under: uncultured bacterium
Lineage: Bacteria
Description: partial 16S ribosomal RNA
Rfam family: Bacterial small subunit ribosomal RNA
Source: RNAcentral